AUACGGAGGGUGCGAGCGUUAAUCGGAAUUACUGGGCGUAAAGCGUGCGUAGGCGGUUUGCUAAGUCAGAUGUGAAAGCCCCGGGCUUAACCUGGGAACUGCAUUUGAUACUGGCAGACUAGAGUAUGAUAGAGGGGGGUAGAAUUCCUGGUGUAGCGGUGAAAUGCGUAGAUAUCAGGAGGAAUACCAGUGGCGAAGGCGGCCCCCUGGAUCAAUACCGACGCUGAGGUACGAAAGCGUGGGGAGCGAACAGGAUUAGAUACCCUAGUAGUCC
This 274-nucleotide ribosomal RNA is filed under the name uncultured bacterium. Its description in RNAcentral is "partial 16S ribosomal RNA". It matches the Rfam family "Bacterial small subunit ribosomal RNA", at positions 523 to 796 of the family's 1533-position model. The record is from RNAcentral.